AACGAAUAUCGCUCUCUUUCUCUCUCUAGACAAAGAAGAAGGGAGCACCAGGGACCUCCGCUCUGUUAAGACUGAAGAAUAUCCCCCAACACACAGCCCAUGAUGAGGUGGUGAAGGCCGUGGAACCCUUCGGAAAGAUCAACAACGUCAUUCAGCUCAAGCCCAUACAGCAGGCAUCCGUGUUGUUUGAGAGGGAGGAGGAUGCUAAGAAGCUGGCUAGCUGUAAGAACCUGACCAUCAAAGGCCAGACCAUCACCGUACUAACGGAGAAAGAUGCUCUGCUGGACGACUCCAAGGAACUGAACCAAACCAACAAGUCUACCGAUGAAAACUGAAGGAGACUCCACACUAACCAAGUCUCGAAGGUGAAAGUGUCUACGCAUUUGAAAACGUCAAAGGACUAUACCAACAUCCCAGGACUUCAGAGAGAAGUAUUGUGAAGACUUGGAUCUCAAUUUGGGGGGGGGGGGGUCUACUAAGGAGAAGGAUCAUGUGAUCAGAUUACCAGGACUUCCUGAAGUGUCACAGGGUGCAGUAAGCUUUUUUUGAGCUGGGAAUGUCCAGAGCUUUCCCGGUUGUCAUAUUUACCAGGAAGUGUGUGAACCUACAGAUUUGUUGUUGACAGACGUUGGAUGUUUGUGUGGGCAACAAUAAACGUGUGUGAGAAACAA
Oncorhynchus masou masou (cherry salmon) is the source of this 671-nucleotide long non-coding RNA. RefSeq lists it as uncharacterized. The transcript has 3 exons. NCBI's taxonomy places the organism in Eukaryota, Metazoa, Chordata, Actinopteri, Salmoniformes, Salmonidae. The record is from RefSeq and is a predicted model, not a curated record.